Molecule: small nucleolar RNA, 81 nt
Organism: Artibeus jamaicensis (Jamaican fruit-eating bat)
Lineage: Eukaryota; Metazoa; Chordata; Mammalia; Chiroptera; Phyllostomidae
Source: RefSeq, a predicted model, not a curated record
CGCGUAUGAUGACACCCUUAGUACUGCUGCAAACCCCCGAGUGCUCAGUGGGGAGGCCAACCUUGGAGAACUGAGCGUGCG